GCCCCAGUGGCCUAAUUGAUAAGGCUCUGGCCUCCUAAGCCAGGGAUUGUGGGUUCGAGUCCCGUCUGGGGUGAUUCA
Molecule: transfer RNA, 78 nt
Filed under: Merluccius polli (Benguela hake)
Lineage: Eukaryota; Metazoa; Chordata; Actinopteri; Gadiformes; Merlucciidae
Description: tRNA-Arg
Rfam family: tRNA
About the family: Transfer RNA (tRNA) molecules are approximately 80 nucleotides in length. Their secondary structure includes four short double-helical elements and three loops (D, anti-codon, and T loops).
Source: RNAcentral